UAAAAUUGUUUAGUGGUGUGUCUGGUGAAAAAAUCUAAGCGUGAAGAGGUGAUCACUCCAACGUACGAGCAAACCUGAAGGCAUCUUCCUUCAAAAAUAUUAACAUGAGGAAACAAGUUUCCUUUACUGUUGCGUUGAUCAGCAUGAAUGAAUGACAGACUAUGUUCUUCGUCGUGAAUUUUUUUGUUUUUGCCAUCAUAAACACAGCAAGCAAUGAGAAACACUCGCUGAGACACAUCUACACGGCCUUCUCCAAACCUGUGAACUUCUCGGGCAUCCAUAAUUUCACUGCUAUGGGUCUACUGGACGACAGAAUGAUCUACUACUACGACAGCUCUAUGGAUAAGAAAAUUCCCAAACAGAAGUGGAUGAAGGAGAGACUCAAGCCGGAUUACUGGGAUAAAGGUACAGAGUUCCUGAGGAGAGAGCAGAUGCGGUUCAGUGAUAUCUUCAACCAAAUGAGACAAAAUUCUAGUGACACUCAUGUUCUUCAGUGGAUGCAUGGCUGUGUCGGCGAAGAGGAUAAAAAUGGCAGCGUCAGGUUUCAGGAUGUUGAGGAUGGCAUGGACAUGUACAAUUUUGACGGAGAUGAAUUCCUGCCUAACGAUACUGAAAAACAAGAAUGGGCGUUUGCAGCAGAUGCAAAACUCUUCCCCAAGAUGGAGGCUUACCAAGUGAAGGAGUGCAUGGACUGGAUGGACACGUUUCUCGGUUAUUUAAGAUCACAUCUCAGAAAUGCAACUCUUGCCGCUCCACCUAAAGUGUUUGUGUUUAAAACUCCAGCUAAAGAAAAGGCAAACAUUGUGCUGACCUGCUUAGCCACAGGCUUCUAUCCAAAAGAUAUUACUAUGGAGAUCAAGAGAGACGGCCGUGUUCUAACAGCAGAUGAUGGUCUGGUGUCGACUGGCAUUCGCCCAAAUGACGAUGACACCUUCCAAAGACGAGAGCAUGUGGAGAUUCUGAGGACAGACUCCUCAAAUUACACUUGCAGAGUCAUCCAUAAAGGCUUCAGCAUUGAUGUUGAGGAGACCUGGGAUCGCCAACCUUCUCCGAAUGAUGCAACAGGAACUCCUAUUGGUGGCGUUGUUGUUGGCGUUGUUGUUGGUGUUGGAGUCGUCUUGAUUGCUGUGUGUGUUGCAGUGUGGUGCAGAAAAAACGUAAGCAAAGAAAUUAUUCUUCUGUUUUUUUUUAUUUUUUUAUAACUGUUGAAUGGACGUGCACUUGAUGAUCCACUACAUUUUUAUAGAUCCAAUAUGAUGUUAAUUCAUCAAAACCGCAUUUAUUGUGUUUGGUUUUAGCUUUACAAACUCUGACUCUGUUUCUGUUUGAACUUUAUUUUUUUUUUAAGUUGCCCAAGAUAACCUCCUUCUGCAGCAGAUGCAAUAGGAUCUUCAACGCUGCUUACCAUUCUCACAGAGUUAAUGAAAGCGAUGGAGAUGAUCUGUCUUAUUCAAUGGCUUCAACUUCAAUUUAAGCUCCACAGCAAGUCUGUUGGUCAUAAAGGAAUCAUAAUUCUAUCAGGUGAUAUGACAAAGUGAAUGUUAAGUUCUAUGUCUCUGUAUGGUAAAUUCUUCUCUUUUUUUUCUAAUUUUUUCUAAAUUUUGUCUUAGAUAAAUAAAAUAUUUGUGACCAAAACCAUCUGCAGUAUUUUAAAAUGUUUUUUUUUUUUUUAUUUACCUUUAAGUAUUAA
This is an RNA transcript of Oryzias melastigma (Indian medaka), 1690 nucleotides long. It is a transcript of the gene named HLA class I histocompatibility antigen, B alpha chain, with no coding region annotated. The record is from RefSeq and is a predicted model, not a curated record. Lineage: Eukaryota; Metazoa; Chordata; Actinopteri; Beloniformes; Adrianichthyidae. The transcript has 7 exons.